Molecule: unclassified non-coding RNA, 314 nt
Filed under: plant metagenome
Description: partial contains 5.8S ribosomal RNA, internal transcribed spacer 2, and large subunit ribosomal RNA
Rfam family: 5.8S ribosomal RNA (bases 1-105)
Source: RNAcentral
GAAACGCGAUAGUUAAUGUGAAUUGCAGAAUUCAGUGAAUCAUCGAGUCUUUGAACGCACAUUGCGCCCAUAGGUAUUCCUUUGGGCAUGUCUGUUUGAGCGUCAUUACAACCCUCAGCUAACCGCUGGUUUUGAACCUGAACGGGUGACGCCGCGCCGGUUUUAAAGUUGUAAGCUCUGCUGGCCGCUCUGCCCAACCAGAACAUAGUAAGCACUACUUGUCCGGGUGAAGCUGAACGGUACGGCCUGAACAAAACCUACCCACUCUCAAGGUUUGACCUCAGAUCAGACAAGGAUACCCGCUGAACUUAAGC